This 301-nucleotide ribosomal RNA is filed under the name uncultured bacterium. RNAcentral describes it as "partial 16S ribosomal RNA". It matches the Rfam family "Bacterial small subunit ribosomal RNA", at positions 509 to 807 of the family's 1533-position model. The record is from RNAcentral.
CAGCAGCCACGGGAAUACGUAGGUGGCAAGCGUUGUCCGGAAUUAUUAGGCGUAAAGGGCUCGCAGGCGGUUUCUUAAGUCUGAUGUGAAAGCCCCCGGCUCAACCGGGGAGGGUCAUUGGAAACUGGGAAACUUGAGUGCAGAAGAGGAGAGUGGAAUUCCACGUGUAGCGGUGAAAUGCGUAGAGAUGUGGAGGAACACCAGUGGCGAAGGCGACUCUCUGGUCUGUAACUGACGCUGAGGAGCGAAAGCGUGGGGAGCGAACAGGAUUAGAUACCCCCGUAGUCCCUGUCUCUUAUAC